ACUUUAUACUGUAAAACUGCGAACGGCUCAUUACAUCAGCAAUAAUUUAUUUGAUGAUUUCUUACUACAUGGAUAACUGUAGUAAUUCUAGAGCUAAUACAUGCGCAAAGUCCUGACUCGCGAGGGGAGGGAUGUAUUUAUUAGAUACAAAACCAAUGCGGGUUCUGCUCGCCAUUGUGUUGAAUCAUAGUAACUUAUCGAACGCCAUAGCCUUGUGCUGGGCGUAGAUCAUUCAAAUUUCUGCCCUAUCA
This 251-nucleotide ribosomal RNA is filed under the name uncultured Rhogostoma. Its description in RNAcentral is "partial 18S ribosomal RNA". It matches the Rfam family "Eukaryotic small subunit ribosomal RNA", at positions 71 to 317 of the family's 1831-position model. Lineage: Eukaryota; Cercozoa; Thecofilosea; Cryomonadida. The record is from RNAcentral.